UACGUAGGGUGCAAGCGUUGUCCGGAAUUAUUGGGCGUAAAGAGCUCGUAGGCGGUUCGUCGCGUCGGCUGUGAAAUCCCGAGGCUCAACCUCGGGUCUGCAGUCGAUACGGGCAAACUAGAGUAUUGCAGGGGAGACUGGAAUUCCUGGUGUAGCGGUGAAAUGCGCAGAUAUCAGGAGGAACACCGGUGGCGAAGGCGGGUCUCUGGGCAAUAACUGACGCUGAGGAGCGAAAGCGUGGGGAGCGAACAGGA
Molecule: ribosomal RNA, 254 nt
Filed under: uncultured bacterium
Lineage: Bacteria
Description: partial 16S ribosomal RNA
Rfam family: Bacterial small subunit ribosomal RNA
Source: RNAcentral